CCAUGUCGUGAGGCGGGAGGAGGGAGAGGGCACUGGGGGCCACCUGCCAAGAUGUAGGACAUGCUGGUCCUUCUUGUUGGGGUUGGGAUUUUGGAAACUGGAUGGGCCCUGCCUCCAGGAUGGCCACCCUCAGCUGUGUUGACCUGGUUUCCCUGCAGGAGCUCAGUUCCCAUUGGCUGUGGUCACACAGGCCCAGGUAGAUGUUGCUCUCACUAUCCCAGCCUCCUGAGACCUACCCUGGGUCUCAGUCCUGCCAGAACCAGGGAUUGCCCAUAGGACCUUCUUCCUUUGCAUGCAAAUGGCUCUGCGUGCAAAUGGCUCUGCGUGGACCGACCCUCGGGGGGGGCCUGUUCUUUGUGUGAUGCAACCAAUCAGUGGGCCCUCACAACUAGGAUGGGUUCUGAGUGGCCAGGGAUCUGUAAGGGGUGACUUUGGAGAGAAGUUUUCAUGGAGCAAUAAAGUGCUGGGCUCUCUCCAAGGACAGCUGUCAGGGACUUCCCACAGGGGAGGGUGUCCAUUGCCCAAGUGCCAUGACCUCACACUGGGCCAGUAGUAAGGGAUGACUGCUGAUGCCACCUGGCAGGGUACAGGUUCUACAAUGUUUCCUACAAGGCGCUAGGUCAGGAGGCUGGGUGGGUGGGGUGGAGAUGUUCCUGGUUCUGCUGGCUCUACACUGUGAGGUGCCAUGGGACUUGCCUGAUGUCACCCAAUAAAAUACCUGUUAAUCAAAUUGAUCUUUCUGGAGGGGGUGGGGGACAGCUUGCUCC
Long non-coding RNA from Pipistrellus kuhlii (Kuhl's pipistrelle), 767 nucleotides. RefSeq lists it as uncharacterized. The transcript is spliced from 3 exons. The record is from RefSeq and is a predicted model, not a curated record. NCBI's taxonomy places the organism in Eukaryota, Metazoa, Chordata, Mammalia, Chiroptera, Vespertilionidae.